AUUGAACGCUGGCGGCAGGCCUAACACAUGCAAGUCGAGCGGAUGAAGGGAGCUUUCUCCUGGAUUCCGCGGCGGACGGGUGAGUAAUGCCUAGGAAUCUGCCUGGCAGUGGGGGAUAACGUCCGGACACGGGCGCUAAUACCGCAUACGUCCUGAGGGAGAAAGUGGGGGAUCUUCGGACCUCACGCUAUCAGAUGAGCCUAGGUCGGAUUAGCUAGUUGGUUGGGUAAAGGUCUACCAAGGCGACGAUCCGUAACUGGUCUGAGAGGAUGAUCAGUCACACUGGAACUGAGACACGGUCCAGACUCCUACGGGAGGCAGCAGUGGGGAAUAUUGGGCAAUGGGCGAAAGCCUGAUGCAGCAAUGCCGCGUGUGUGAAGAAGGUCUUCGGAUUGUAAAGCACUUUAAGUUGGGAGGAAGGGCAGUAAGUUAAUACCUUGCUGUUUUGACGUUACCAACAGAAUAAGCACCGGCUAACUUCGUG
This 484-nucleotide ribosomal RNA is filed under the name uncultured bacterium. Its description in RNAcentral is "partial 16S ribosomal RNA". It matches the Rfam family "Bacterial small subunit ribosomal RNA", at positions 30 to 507 of the family's 1533-position model. The record is from RNAcentral.